This 860-nucleotide ribosomal RNA is filed under the name uncultured fungus. RNAcentral describes it as "SSU rRNA". It matches the Rfam family "Eukaryotic small subunit ribosomal RNA", at positions 564 to 1458 of the family's 1831-position model. The record is from RNAcentral. Lineage: Eukaryota; Fungi.
GUGCCAGCAGCCGCGGUAAUUCCAGCUCCAAUAGCGUAUAUUAAAGUUGUUGUGGUUAAAAAGCUCGUAGUUGAACCUUGGGCCUGGCUGGCCGGUCCGCCUCACCGCGUGCACUGGUCCGGCCGGGCCUUUCCCUCUGUGGAACCCCAUACCCUUCACUGGGCGUGGCGGGGAAACAGGACAUUUACUUUGAAAAAAUUAGAGUGCUCCAGGCAGGCCUAUGCUCGAAUACAUUAGCAUGGAAUAAUAAAAUAGGACGCGCGGUUCUAUUUUGUUGGUUUAUAGGACCGCCGUAAUGAUUAAUAGGGACAGUCGGGGGCAUCAGUAUUCAACUGUCAGAGGUGAAAUUCUUGGAUCAGUUGAAGACUAACUACUGCGAAAGCAUUUGCCAAGGAUGUUUUCAUUAAUCAGGAACGAAAGUUAGGGGAUCGAAGACGAUCAGAUACCGUCGUAGUCUUAACCAUAAACUAUGCCGACUAGGGAUCGGACGGUGUUAUUCAUGACCCGUUCGGCACCUUACGAGAAAUCAAAGUGCUUGGGCUCCAGGGGGAGUAUGGUCGCAAGGCUGAAACUUAAAGAAAUUGACGGAAGGGCACCACCAGGGGUGGAGCCUGCGGCUUAAUUUGACUCAACACGGGGAAACUCACCAGGUCCAGACACAAUAAGGAUUGACAGAUUGAGAGCUCUUUCUUGAUUUUGUGGGUGGUGGUGCAUGGCCGUUCUUAGUUGGUGGGGUGACUUGUCUGCUUAAUUGCGAUACGAACGAGACUUAUCUGCUAAAUAGCCCGCAUGCUCCGGCAGUGCGCUGGCUUCUUAGAGGGACUUUCGGCUCAAGCCGAAGGAAGUUUGAGGCAUAAACA